AAAUUCUUGUAAAUCCUUUUAAAAUCUUUGUAAAGUCGUUAAAAACACUUGUAAAUCUUUUCAAUGUUGUAACUAGAAAAAGAUAUAGAAGAAAUGAGUGUGUUAUUCCAUUGAAUAAAGGGUUCUUUAUAUAGGAGUAAAAGGAAAGGGUAAAACCCUAGAAACAUCUAGAUGAUGGGCUUAGAUGAUGGGUCUUAUAAUGGGCAUCCAUCUUUAUUCAUAACACUCCCCCCUUGAUGACCAUUGUAGUACCAUAACUCGUAAAGUAUUUGAAAUGCUGCCUCAUUAAAAACCUUACCAGGAAAACCCAACGGAAAAAACCAUGGUUAAGGGAAAAAGAGUGCAACAUACAAUUACUCCUCCUUAUGAGUAUAUUCGACGAGAUCUUUGAGACGGCGUAAUCCGAUACGAUAGACUAACUUCUUGAAAGUAGCAGUAGAUAGCGCCUGGGUGAAUAAGUCAGCCAGAUUAUCAUUCGAACGGAUCUGUAGAACUCGUACAUCGCCGCUCUUUUGUAGAUCGUGUGUGAAGAAGAAUUUUGGUAGGAUGUGCUUUGUUCUAUCGCCUUUGAUGUAUCCGUUUUUGAGUUGUGCGAUGCAUGCUGCAUUGUCUUCGUACAUAAUUGUUGAAGUCCUUUUCCCUCAGGGGCGGAUCCACGGCAAGGUUGGGUUAGGCACGUGCCCGAGGCUGUUUUUUU
RNAcentral lists this small RNA (697 nucleotides) under Arabidopsis thaliana (thale cress). RNAcentral describes it as "ATSL154800". Lineage: Eukaryota; Viridiplantae; Streptophyta; Magnoliopsida; Brassicales; Brassicaceae. The record is from RNAcentral.